GAAAGUUAGAUGCCGGUCGCCAUAUAAAGUCCGAUUCGGUUGACAGUUUUAUGUGUGGAUUAAUUGUUGGAGUAGAGGACCUUGUGCAUUUCAGAAUUUGGCAGUACGUCCAACCAGCCUCACAACCACAGACCACGUGUAACCACGCUAGCCCAGGACCUCCACAUCCGGCUUCGUCACCUGGGUGAUUGUCUGAGACCAGCCACCUGGACAGCUGAUGAAACUGUGGGUUUGCACAAAUCUCGGCACAAACUGUACCGGGAUGAUGGCAGACAGCGUGUUUGGCAUUGUGUGGACUUGCUGCGCUGUGCCAUCCCCACGGCUUCCACAAAGGAUCAGUCCACUCAGACAGGCGCAAAUCAGACAGGUGUCUUCUUUUUUUUUUGCUACUGCUCGACUAAAAGAAGUCUCAGUCGACCAACAGCCUAUCGACUGUUUCAAACAAUCAACCAAUCGACUAUAUGGGGUCAGCACUACAACGAACACAAUUGGAUUUUAUCGAUGGCAAUUUGAAUGCAUAGAGAUACCAUGAUGAGAUCAUGAGGCCCAUUGUCAUGCCAUUCCUCCGCCACCAUCACUGCAUGUUUCAGCAUGAUAAUGCACAGCCCCAUGUUGCAAUGAUCUGUACACAAUUCCUGGAAGAUGAAAAUGGCCCAGUUCUUCCACGGCCUGAAAACUCAUUGAGCAUGUUUGGGAUGCUCUGGGUCGGUGUAUGACAGCGUUUUCCAGUUUCCGUCAAUAUCCGCCAACUCCGCACAGCCAUUGAAGAGGUCUGGGACAAUAUUCCACAGGCCACAAUCAACAGGUUGAUCAACACUACGCAAAGGAUAUGUGUCGCGCUGCAUGAGGCAAAUCGUGGAUACACCAGAUAAGGGCUGGUUUUCUGAUCCACGCCACUACUUUCUUUUUAAGGUAUCUGUGACCAACAGAUGUAUGUCUGUAUUCCCUGGCAUGUGAAAUCCAUAAAUUGGGGUCUAUCAAUUGACUGAUUUUCUUAAAUGAACUGUAACUCUUUGAAAUUGUUGCAUGUUGUGUUUCUUUUUUGUUCAGUGUAUUUUGUUUAACAUUGGCUCAAACUUCAGAGGCUUAACAUAUUUCUAUGAGAAAAUAAAUUGAAAGGUGUACACAACACAGUUUGACGAUACUGAUGGACUCCACAUUAGACUAUCAUAAACAUAGGAGCCCCUGACAAUGAGCAUCCUGUUGCAGGCUUAUCUGGGGGACAACCUGCUGCCUAUCUUUCUACAUAGAAUGAUUGCAUGCAGAGCAUGAACAGUGUGUAGGCACGCAUCCCUGGUAGCACUUUUAUACUUUUUAUUUUUUCAAGCAAGUUCCCAUAGUUCAGAGAGAGAGAGAGCAUAACCUCAGAGUACCACUCAUUUCCCUCCUUCCUGAAACUGAGAAAUAAGGUUGUCACUAAAAGUUCACCAACUAUGCUGAUACUGAGCCAUUGAGAGGAUAAAAUUAAUUCUAAAAUGUCAAAUGAGGCAAGAAACAACUCAAAACCAGGGAGCGAUGAAAAGGUACAACAGACGGUUAUCGGUGUCGUGAUAGAGCAAGAGACAGAACAGACACAGUGCAGACCACUGCUUUGAAGAACGGUAGUGCUGAUUUCCCCGAUCAACAGGAUAACUAACACACACAGAGUGUAAUCUACGUGAGCAAGGCAAUAUGCUGAA
Salmo salar (Atlantic salmon) is the source of this 1679-nucleotide long non-coding RNA. RefSeq lists it as uncharacterized. Lineage: Eukaryota; Metazoa; Chordata; Actinopteri; Salmoniformes; Salmonidae. The record is from RefSeq and is a predicted model, not a curated record.